AGAGCGAACGCUGGCGGCAGGCCUAACACAUGCAAGUCGAGCGCCCGUAGCAAUACGGGAGCGGCAGACGGGAUAGUAACACGUGGGAACGCGCCCUUCGGUUCGGAAUAACUCAGGGAAACUUGAGCUAAUACCGGAUACGCCCUUACGGGGAAAGAUUUAUUGCCGAAGGAACGGCCCGCGUCCGAUUAGCUGGUUGGUGAGGUAAUGGCUCACCAAGGCGACGAUCGGUAGCUGGUCUGAGAGGAUGACCAGCAUCACUGGGACUGAGACACGGCCCAGACUCCUACGGGAGGCAGCAGUGGGGAAUAUUGGACAAUGGGCGCAAGCCUGAUCCAGCCAUGCCGCGUGGAUGAUGAAGGCCUUAGGGUUGUAAAGUCCGUUUUAACGGGGAAGAUAAUGACGGUACCCGUAGAAUAAGCCCCGGCUAACUUCGCGCCAGCAGCCGC
RNAcentral lists this ribosomal RNA (449 nucleotides) under uncultured bacterium. RNAcentral describes it as "SSU rRNA". It matches the Rfam family "Bacterial small subunit ribosomal RNA", at positions 26 to 518 of the family's 1533-position model. The record is from RNAcentral.